GACGAACGCUGGCGGCGUGCUUAACACAUGCAAGUCGAACGGAAAGGCCCUGCUUGCAGGGUGCUCGAGUGGCGAACGGGUGAGUAACACAUGGGUGAUCUGCCCCUUACUUUGGGAUAAGCCUGGGAAACUGGGUCUAAUACUGGAUAGGACCAUGCUGUAGGUGGUGUGGUGGAAAGAUUAGUUUCGUUAAGGGAUGAGCUCGCGGCCUAUCAGCUUGUUGGUGGGGUGAUGGCCUACCAAGGCGUCGACGGGUAGCCGGCCUGAGAGGGUGGACGGCCACAUGGGGACUGAGAGACGGACCAGACGCCUACGGGAGGCAGCAGUGGGGAAUAGUGCACAAUGGGCGCAAGCCUGAUGCAGCGACGCCGCGGGGGGGAUGACGGCCUUCGGGUUGUAAACUCCUUGCAGCCAUGACGAAGCCCUUGUGGUGACGGUAGUGGUAGAAGAAGCACCGGCUAACUACGUG
RNAcentral lists this ribosomal RNA (469 nucleotides) under uncultured bacterium. RNAcentral describes it as "partial 16S ribosomal RNA". It matches the Rfam family "Bacterial small subunit ribosomal RNA", at positions 28 to 507 of the family's 1533-position model. The record is from RNAcentral.